UUCAGAGGUCUCGAGCGUUGUUCGGAUUUACUGGGCGUAAAGGGAGCGUAGGCGGCCGGGUGUGUCGAAUGUGAAAGCCCACAACUCAACUGUGGAAUGGCAUUCGAAACUACCUGGCUAGAGUACUGGAGAGGAGAGCGGAAUUCUUGGUGUAGCGGUGAAAUGUGUAGAUAUCAAGAGGAACACCGGUGGCGAAGGCGGCUCUCUGGACAGAUACUGACGCUGAGGCUCUAAAGUUAGGGGAGCAAACAGGAUUAGAUA
RNAcentral lists this ribosomal RNA (261 nucleotides) under uncultured prokaryote. RNAcentral's name for it is "partial 16S ribosomal RNA". It matches the Rfam family "Bacterial small subunit ribosomal RNA", at positions 524 to 784 of the family's 1533-position model. The record is from RNAcentral.